Molecule: ribosomal RNA, 536 nt
Filed under: Salmonella enterica subsp. enterica serovar Derby
Lineage: Bacteria; Pseudomonadati; Pseudomonadota; Gammaproteobacteria; Enterobacterales; Enterobacteriaceae
Also listed under: 2 other names
Description: bacterial SSU rRNA
Rfam family: Bacterial small subunit ribosomal RNA
Source: RNAcentral
UGGAUUUGUGCCUUCGGGAACUGUGAGACAGGUGCUGCAUGGCUGUCGUCAGCUCGUGUUGUGAAAUGUUGGGUUAAGUCCCGCAACGAGCGCAACCCUUAUCCUUUGUUGCCAGCGGUUAGGCCGGGAACUCAAAGGAGACUGCCAGUGAUAAACUGGAGGAAGGUGGGGAUGACGUCAAGUCAUCAUGGCCCUUACGACCAGGGCUACACACGUGCUACAAUGGCGCAUACAAAGAGAAGCGACCUCGCGAGAGCAAGCGGACCUCAUAAAGUGCGUCGUAGUCCGGAUUGGAGUCUGCAACUCGACUCCAUGAAGUCGGAAUCGCUAGUAAUCGUGGAUCAGAAUGCCACGGUGAAUACGUUCCCGGGCCUUGUACACACCGCCCGUCACACCAUGGGAGUGGGUUGCAAAAGAAGUAGGUAGCUUAACCUUCGGGAGGGCGCUUACCACUUUGUGAUUCAUGACUGGGGUGAAGUCGUAACAAGGUAACCGUAGGGGAACCUGCGGUUGGAUCACCUCCUUACCUUAAAGAA